GUAGAAGGAAGCAGAAGGCUGUGUGUGCUGUUUCUGAGCAGUCUCCUUUCACGUCAGCGCGUACAAAAUCCAUUCCUGCGUCCUGGGUCUGAAUGCGCUUGGACGGACAUAGAAAGAGGAAAUCAAAGAAAGAAAAGUAAAAGAAAAAAGAACCUAAGACGAAAAAACGACAAAACAAGCAGUACGUAAAAAUUCAGUUUCGAAAACAGCCACAGAAAUACAAAUCUACGCGAUGAACUGGCUGCAGUACUCCAAGGACGGGAAUGGUGGAGACAGCAGGAUGCAGAAGGGGAUUUUCAGGUCGUGGCUUUUUAAAAAAAAAAAAAUUAUUUUUUAUAGUUGAGCAGUUUAUAGUUAGUUGUUUUAA
Long non-coding RNA from Acipenser ruthenus (sterlet), 367 nucleotides. RefSeq lists it as uncharacterized. Lineage: Eukaryota; Metazoa; Chordata; Actinopteri; Acipenseriformes; Acipenseridae. The record is from RefSeq and is a predicted model, not a curated record. The transcript is spliced from 3 exons.